Molecule: ribosomal RNA, 527 nt
Filed under: uncultured bacterium
Lineage: Bacteria
Description: bacterial SSU rRNA
Rfam family: Bacterial small subunit ribosomal RNA
Source: RNAcentral
CGCAAUGGGGGAAACCCUGACGCAGCGACGCCGCGUGUAGGAAGAAGGCCUUCGGGUCGUAAACUACUGUCAAGAGGGAAGAAACCGUAGGACAAUAAUAAGGUCCUGCGCUGACGGUACCUCUAGAGGAAGCACCGGCUAACUCCGUGCCAGCAGCCGCGGUAAUACGGAGGGUGCGAGCGUUAAUCGGAAUCACUGGGCGUAAAGCGUGCGUAGGCGGCGUAUCAAGUCAGGCGUGAAAGCCCUCGGCUCAACCGGGGAAUAUGCGCUUGAAACUGGUACGCUAGAGUCUCGGAGAGGUUGGCAGGWAUUCCAGGUGUAGGAGURARAUCCGUAGAUAUCUGGAGGAACACCGGUGGCGAAGGCGGCCAACUGAAACGAGUAACUGACGCUGAGGUACGGAAAGCGUGGGUAGCAAACAGGAUAUAAGAUACCCUGGUAGUCCCACGCGUGUAAACGAUGGAUAUUAGGUGUCGGGGUUUAACUUCGUGUGCCGCAGUUUCAACGUCGUUACAACUAUCCCGUCC